ACUCUUCCUGUCCUGAACCUUCUGUCAGAAUUCCCGGUUUUUAGGCUGGCGUUCCUACUGGGUGGUCCUCCAAGAUGGGGUUCUGUCCUGGUACUCUAAACAGUUGGAUGCAGCUGCCAAUGUCCGAAGACAAGGCUGUAAGCCCCUGACCCAAGCCCACUGUUUGAUCAAAGCCAGAGACCACUGCUUUUUCACCCUCAAGUGCUUCGAUGACAGUGUGCAUCAUUUCAAAGUGUCCCCCAAGAAUGACCCUGAGG
Coregonus clupeaformis (lake whitefish) is the source of this 257-nucleotide long non-coding RNA. RefSeq lists it as uncharacterized. Lineage: Eukaryota; Metazoa; Chordata; Actinopteri; Salmoniformes; Salmonidae. The transcript has 3 exons. The record is from RefSeq and is a predicted model, not a curated record.